UGCACUGACAGUAAGGCCCCUUCCUGUGCUUUCCUCGGCAGGGGAGAAAUAUGAACUGCAUGCAGGAACCGAGUCCACCCCCAGU
MicroRNA precursor from Cricetulus griseus (Chinese hamster), 85 nucleotides. The record is from Ensembl. NCBI's taxonomy places the organism in Eukaryota, Metazoa, Chordata, Mammalia, Rodentia, Cricetidae.